AGAGUUUGAUCCUGGCUCAGAGCGAACGUUAGCGGCGCGCCUAACACAUGCAAGUCGCACGAGAAAGGGCUUUGGCCCCGGUACAAUGGCGCACGGGUGAGUAACACGUGGGUAACCUUCCCAAGAGUGGUGGAUAACCUGCCGAAAGGCGGGCUAAUACAGCAUACGACGGGCUGUCUUCGGACGGUUCGUGAAAGCAGGCCUCUGUACACAAGCUUGCGCUCAUGGAUGGGCUCGCGCCCCAUCAGCUAGUUGGCGAGGUAAUGGCUCACCAAGGCAUAGACGGGUAGCUGGUCUGAGAGGAUGGCCAGCCACACUGGAACUGAGACACGGUCCAGACUCCUACGGGAGGCAGCAGUGGGGAAUCUUGCGCAAUGGACGAAAGUCUGACGCAGCGACGCCGCGUGGGCGACGAAGGCCUUCGGG
RNAcentral lists this ribosomal RNA (426 nucleotides) under uncultured bacterium. RNAcentral describes it as "bacterial SSU rRNA". It matches the Rfam family "Bacterial small subunit ribosomal RNA", at positions 8 to 422 of the family's 1533-position model. The record is from RNAcentral.